GUAUGUAUGAAAGGAGAGAAGGUUAGUGCUCUCCUGGACAAGGAUGAAAGAGGCCCUUGGGCCUGACAACAUGCAUAUAGUGAGGGUGUUGCCACCUACUUUGAGGCAUCUAAGCAUCAUUUUUG
Molecule: small nuclear RNA, 125 nt
Organism: Camelus dromedarius (Arabian camel)
Lineage: Eukaryota; Metazoa; Chordata; Mammalia; Artiodactyla; Camelidae
Source: Ensembl